AACGACUCAGGCAGACUCAUGAAGAAACCUUUAGCUGAAGCAGACACAAGGGAGGGGACGCUCUGCUAAAGCGAGCCCGUGAAAGGACACGUGAUGAAGGAUUCUUUGCUAAGGACAAGCAUGUAUCAGUCUGCCUUACAUUAUGUAGUUGAGCUGCAUUUGUUGGGAUUCCACAGAGAGAAACACACCAAAAACUUCUGGUGGUGUCCUGCAGUUUCUUGCUGCUUCCAUGGGCUUGGACCGAUUGACAGAGCGAUGUCAGCUGAGACAGUCGCAUGUGCUGAGGCAAGACACAUGGAGGAUACUUGAUGUUUGGAGAGAGCAUCAAAGGUCUCGACAGGUAGUGACA
RNAcentral lists this long non-coding RNA (349 nucleotides) under Rattus norvegicus (Norway rat). RNAcentral's name for it is "long non-coding RNA NONRATT000183". The record is from RNAcentral. Lineage: Eukaryota; Metazoa; Chordata; Mammalia; Rodentia; Muridae.